RNAcentral lists this ribosomal RNA (493 nucleotides) under uncultured bacterium. Its description in RNAcentral is "partial 16S ribosomal RNA". It matches the Rfam family "Bacterial small subunit ribosomal RNA", at positions 28 to 507 of the family's 1533-position model. The record is from RNAcentral.
GACGAACGCUGGCGGCGUGCCUAACACAUGCAAGUUGAGCGACGAACCAGGGCUUGCCCUGGGGCAAAGCAGCGAACGGGUGAGUAACACGUGGGUAACCUACCCCGAUAACCGGGACAACCCGAGGAAACUCGGGCUAAUACCGGAUGUGCUCACUGGACUUCGGUUCAGUGCGUAAAGGAAGCUUCGGCCUCCGUAUCGGGAGGGGCCCGCGGCCCAUUAGUUUGUUGGUGAGGUAACGGCUCACCAAGACCGCGAUGGGUAGCUGGUCUGAGAGGACGAUCAGCCACACUGGGACUGAGACACGGCCCAGACUCCUACGGGAGGCAGCAGUGGGGAAUCUUGCGCAAAGCGCGAAAGCGUGACGCAGCAACGCCGCGUGGGGGAAGAAGGCCUUCGGGUUGUAAACCCCUUUCAGGAGGGACGAAGGUGCGGCGGUGAAUAGCCGUCCGGACUGACGGUACCUCCACAAGAAGCCCCGGCUAACUACGUG